UCCCACUCCAUUCUACGCAUUUCACUUGCCACCCUCUCAAAACACAAGGUGUACAUGAGAGAUUACCUGAGCAGGAUGAGGAGAAUGAGGAAGAUGAGACUGUAGAUGUGGAGCAAACAGAAAAUCUCACAAAAUAACUACUAGAUAUUAGACUGGAAAUGCAACGAUACCAGCAAGACCGAAAACAGCUACAGACAUGGCGUAAGCUCCAAAAGGUCUUGACUAACUGGCUCGAAACAACAGGCAUUGAGGGAGAAACUGAGGAACGAGAAAG
Sinocyclocheilus grahami is the source of this 274-nucleotide long non-coding RNA. RefSeq lists it as uncharacterized. The transcript is spliced from 3 exons. NCBI's taxonomy places the organism in Eukaryota, Metazoa, Chordata, Actinopteri, Cypriniformes, Cyprinidae. The record is from RefSeq and is a predicted model, not a curated record.